Molecule: non-coding RNA, 486 nt
Organism: Hydra vulgaris (swiftwater hydra)
Lineage: Eukaryota; Metazoa; Cnidaria; Hydrozoa; Anthoathecata; Hydridae
Source: RefSeq, a predicted model, not a curated record
UCAGUUUUUAUAUGCAUUUAAUAUUUUUAAAAAUAGUUCAAAAGCUGUCAAAAUAAAAUGGUGAAUUGAGUUUAAACCAGAAAAGAUAUAAACGUAAUCUUUGGGAUUCAACUUGUAAGGAUGUUCCAAGAACCACUUAGUUGGAGAAGGAAAACUGUGCCGUUCAUUAACAAGUCCUGUGCUUUAUAAUAUAUUAAAAAAUGGAAGGACGUGAAGAAAACAGGCAGGAAUGUUUGACUGGAAAUAUAAACGAUGUUGUACAUAAUGCAGAUAGCUUAGGCAAAAAAGAGGUAACAAUCUAAUAAUUUGUAUUUAUAAAUAAUGAUAUAUUCAUUGCUACUUUUGAUGAAUAUUAAUAUGUGAAUGGUACUUUGUUUAACAUCUACCUGUUUCUACAGAUACAGUACAGACACAUUUAUAAAUGGGCUUGAUGUUUUUUUGAAUUAAAUAUGUUGUAUUGAUGGUUCUUUUUAACUUGUUAAAACU